Molecule: ribosomal RNA, 783 nt
Filed under: Triticum aestivum (bread wheat)
Lineage: Eukaryota; Viridiplantae; Streptophyta; Magnoliopsida; Poales; Poaceae
Description: partial small subunit ribosomal RNA
Source: RNAcentral
AUGAAGAUCCAGUGCGACUCGUGCGGCGUCGCGGCGGCCACGGUGGUGUGCUGCGCCGACGAGGCGGCGCUGUGCGCGCGCUGCGACGUGGACAUCCACGCCGCCAACAAGCUCGCCAGCAAGCACCAGAGGCUCCCGCUCGACGCGCUCGGCGCCAAGCUCCCGCGCUGCGACAUCUGCCAGGAGAAGGCCGCCUUCAUCUUCUGCGUCGAGGACAGGGCGCUCUUCUGCCGCGACUGCGACGAGCCCAUCCACGUCCCCGGCACGCUCUCCGGGAACCACCAGCGCUACCUCGCCACCGGCAUCCGCGUCGGCCUCGGCCCCGUCUCCGCCUGCGCCGCCGGGGACCACGGCGCCAGCCACGACGCCGACCACCCCGCCCCGCCCAAGCUCGCCUGCGAGCCCCAGCCGCCGGCCCAGCCCGCCGCCAGCGCGCAGCAGGUCCCCUCGCCGCCACAGUUCCUGCCGCAGGACUGGGGCGUCGACGAGCUCCUGCAGUUCUCGGACUACGAGUCCAGCGACAAGCUGCACAAGGACUCGGCUCUCGGCUUCAAGGAGCUGGAGUGGUUCACCGCGGACAUGGAGCUCUUCCACGAUCACGCGCCCAAGGGCGGCAGGGCGACCAUGGAGGUGCCCGAGUUCUUCGCCUCGCAGGCGGCAGACGACGCUGCCUACUACAGGCCGAGCAGAGUCGCCGCCACCGCCGGCUUGCGCCAGAGCAAGAAGGCCCGCGUCGAGAUCCCCGACGACGAGGACUUCUUCAUCGUGCCUGAUCUUGGCUAA